CGCUCAGGACGAACGCUGGCGGCGUGCUUAAUACAUGCAAGUCGAGCGGACCGACGGGAGCUUGCUCCCUUUAGGUCAGCGGCGGACGGGUGAGUAACACGUGGGUAACCUGCCUGUAAGACUGGGAUAACUCCGGGAAACCGGGGCUAAUACCGGAUGCUUGAUUGAACCGCAUGGUUCAAUCAUAAAAGGUGGCUUUCAGCUACCACUUACAGAUGGACCCGCGGCGCAUUAGCUAGUUGGUGAGGUAACGGCUCACCAAGGCGACGAUGCGUAGCCGACCUGAGAGGGUGAUCGGCCACACUGGGACUGAGACACGGCCCAGACUCCUACGGGAGGCAGCAGUAGGGAAUCUUCCGCAAUGGACGAAAGUCUGACGGAGCAACGCCGCGUGAGUGAUGAAGGUUUUCGGAUCGUAAAACUCUGUUGUUAGGGAAGAACAAGUACCGUUCGAAUAGGGCGGUACCUUGACGGUACCUAACCAGAAAGCCACGGCUAACUACGUGCCAGCAGCCGCGGUAAUACGUAGGUGGCAAGCGUUGUCCGGAAUUAUUGGGCGUAAAGCGCGCGCAGGCGGUUUCUUAAGUCUGAUGUGAAAGCCCCCGGCUCAACCGGGGAGGGUCAUUGGAAACUGGGGAACUUGAGUGCAGAAGAGGAGAGUGGAAUUCCACGUGUAGCGGUGAAAUGCGUAGAGAUGUGGAGGAACACCAGUGGCGAAGGCGACUCUCUGGUCUGUAACUGACGCUGAGGCGCGAAAGCGUGGGGAGCGAACAGGAUUAGAUACCCUGGUAGUCCACGCCGUAAACGAUGAGUGCUAAGUGUUAGAGGGUUUCCGCCCUUUAGUGCUGCAGCAAACGCAUUAAGCACUCCGCCUGGAGACCUCCGUCG
This 888-nucleotide ribosomal RNA is filed under the name Bacillus sp. M_Sw_HS_07/11_10_2(1). Its description in RNAcentral is "bacterial SSU rRNA". It matches the Rfam family "Bacterial small subunit ribosomal RNA", at positions 21 to 888 of the family's 1533-position model. Lineage: Bacteria; Bacillati; Bacillota; Bacilli; Caryophanales; Bacillaceae. The record is from RNAcentral.